CUUUCUUCCUUUUCGUGAGCCUUCUUUACGUCUAUCAGUCUCUGAACUCAUUUUACCCAACCCUACUUCUUUCCCGCGUCGUUCAUCUACGUUUCUUGGAUUUCAGUUCGCGUCUCGAACGUUGUUCUUCACGUUUUCUGGACUUCAAACAAGGUAUAGAGUUCUCACGCAAGGAGCAUGGCAAAGGAGGAGGUUUGGGUUCGUUUUUGGUAAAGAAGAAACGCAAGUUUCGGCGGCCAGGCGCGACCUCCAUCCUCACCGCGCGGUGGGUACCACGGCGGUGAUUUCUUCGCGGCGCGGGGAUGAGCUUCGCCAGAUAGGGUUCGAAUCGUGUUCUUUUCUUUUUUUGAUUCUUGUGAUUUGGGGGUUAGGAUUUCGAAGGAGGUUUUGAAAAUUCGUGUUUGCUGUAAUUUAUGAAAACUGGUAAACCUUAUCAUUCUUCAAACCUAAACUUGUGGAGUGGUAGAGCUUGAAAGUAGGCAAAGUUGACUACCAUUAGGCAUUUUGCCUUGUAGAGAAUGUGAGAGUGUCUCUUGGACGUGACCCUAGAAUUACAGGUCAAAACUGAGUGUUGCAGUUUUUCAGGUCUUUCUCGUGCAGGUUGCAUGGUGUUUGACAUGGGACUAGCUACCAUACCAGGUUGUUUCAUGAGCACAAUAUUGUCUCCAUUUGCCUAUGAUGGUUCAAUCAUGGAUUUUCUACAAUCCAUGAACUCAAAUGAAUGCUGCUUAUGACACUAGACUUGAAGACUAGUACUGAGAAGCUUAUAAUAUGGAUGUGAUGGUUCUGUCAUAAUCAGAGCCUAACACAAAUUUUUUACCAAGAGAGGUGGAUUGACUUCAACAGAGGUGGAGGAAAUAUGUGAUAAAGCUGCUCGAAAAUAUGCAAAUAUAGGAUGACCAAAGUCUCUGCUUUGCUUAGUGUCAUUCCAACAAAAGUUGAUUUUAUGAGCACUUAUGCAAUGCACCUACGAGAAAUAAUCAAGGAGAGAAUCGAUCAUCCUCUGUAUCCUGACACUCCACUUCAGGGAUUUCAGAUACUAUGAAGGACUUCAAAAGUGUGUUGGACUUUAUUUAAAAGAUGGACAGUACUCGUCAAUUAUAUUAGGCCUCUCUUAACUAAGGGCGUCCCCUCUCUGUUCUCUGAUCUAUCAUCUUUGUACAAUCACCCUGGGAAGGAAUACGACAGAGAGAGUAAGAAUUUGUAAGCAAUGGCACAAAUGAAUGUCUGAAACUAUUUCAAGUCACUAAACCAAAUGUUGAAACAUGUCCCAUACAUCUGGGACUGUUUAGAGUGACAUGUAUCUUCAUUAACAUUACAAGUCAAUGAAAUGAAGACAAUUAUGACACUUUUGUUGCAAAAUUAUCAAGGUCCAUUGCCUUCACAAUUUGUAGUAUUUAAAAGAUCAUCGGUAUCUGAUCAAGGAAGUGGGCCAAACAAUGGAUGUAAUGAAGAAAAAAAUUAGAUAUUGUUAUUGAAUACUUUUAUGAGUCAUACUUUUAGUAUUGAACAUCUAUAUUGAACAUAUGUAAUGAACCUUUCUUUUUAAUUUUUAUGUAUGAACAAUUAGUUGUAUGAAUGAUAUUAGGUUGAACAAUGUAGUUUAUUUUAUACAAU
This is an RNA transcript of Vigna angularis (adzuki bean), 1617 nucleotides long. RefSeq lists it as uncharacterized. NCBI's taxonomy places the organism in Eukaryota, Viridiplantae, Streptophyta, Magnoliopsida, Fabales, Fabaceae. The transcript is spliced from 7 exons. The record is from RefSeq and is a predicted model, not a curated record.